This 93-nucleotide transfer-messenger RNA is filed under the name Halieaceae bacterium. RNAcentral's name for it is "partial transfer-messenger RNA". It matches the Rfam family "transfer-messenger RNA", at positions 281 to 374 of the family's 374-position model. Rfam says of the family: Bacterial tmRNA, also known as 10Sa RNA or SsrA, is named for its dual tRNA and mRNA-like properties. Its role is to liberate the mRNA from a stalled ribosome. To accomplish this part of the tmRNA is used as a reading frame that ends in a translation stop signal. Lineage: Bacteria; Pseudomonadati; Pseudomonadota; Gammaproteobacteria; Cellvibrionales; Halieaceae. The record is from RNAcentral.
UGUUGUCCGUUAAAUCAAUUAACGGAAACUAAGCAUGUAGAGCCAAAGGCAGAGUGCUGGCGGACGCGGGUUCAACUCCCGCCGCCUCCACCA